Molecule: ribosomal RNA, 386 nt
Filed under: uncultured prokaryote
Description: bacterial SSU rRNA
Rfam family: Archaeal small subunit ribosomal RNA
Source: RNAcentral
GCGCGAAAACUUUACAAUGCUGGCAACAGCGAUAAGGGAACCUCGAGCGCCAGGUUACAAAUCUGGCUGUCGAGAUGCCUAAAAAGCAUUUCAUAGCAAGGGCCGGGCAAGACCGGUGCCAGCCGCCGCGGUAACACCGGCGGCUCGAGUGGUAACCGUUCUUAUUGGGUCUAAAGGGUCUGUAGCCGGCCUGAUAAGUCUCUUGAGAAAUCUGGCAGCUUAACUGUCAGGCUUUCAGGAGAUACUGUCUGGCUCGAGGCCGGGAGAGGUGAGAGGUACUUCAGGGGUAGGGGUGAAAUCUUGUAAUCCUUGAAGGACCACCAGUGGCGAAGGCGUCUCACCAGAACGGACCUGACGGCAAGGGACGAAAGCUAGGGGCACGAACC